Molecule: ribosomal RNA, 262 nt
Filed under: uncultured bacterium
Lineage: Bacteria
Description: partial 16S ribosomal RNA
Rfam family: Bacterial small subunit ribosomal RNA
Source: RNAcentral
GGCCGCGGUAAUACGAAGGGUGCAAGCGUUACUCGGAUUUAUUGGGCGUAAAGAGCUCGUAGGCGGCUCGGUAAGUCGGGUGUGAAAACUUAGGGCUCAACCCUGAGACGCCACUCGAUACUGCUGUGGCUAGAGUCCGGUAGGGGAGCGUGGAAUUCCUGGUGUAGCGGUGGAAUGCGCAGAUAUCAGGAGGAACACCAGCGGCGAAGGCGGCGCUCUGGGCCGGAACUGACGCUGAGGAGCGAAAGCGUGGGGAGCAAAC